Molecule: ribosomal RNA, 238 nt
Filed under: Muribaculaceae bacterium
Lineage: Bacteria; Pseudomonadati; Bacteroidota; Bacteroidia; Bacteroidales; Muribaculaceae
Description: partial 16S ribosomal RNA
Rfam family: Bacterial small subunit ribosomal RNA
Source: RNAcentral
ACAGCGGAGAGUUUGAUCCUGGCUCAGGAUGAACGCUAGCUGCAGGCUUAACACAUGCAAGUCGAACGGCAGCGGGGGGAGGAGCUUGCUCCUCCCUGCCGGCGAGUGGCGCACGGGUGAGUAACACGUAUGCAACCUACCCCUGUCAGGGGGACAACCUUCCGAAAGGGAGGCUAAUCCCGCGUAUAUCCCCCGGGGGCAUCCCCGGGGGAGGAAAGGAUAACCGGACAGGGAUGGG